This is an RNA transcript of Nomascus leucogenys (northern white-cheeked gibbon), 2161 nucleotides long. It is a transcript of the gene named 26S proteasome regulatory subunit 8-like, with no coding region annotated. The record is from RefSeq and is a predicted model, not a curated record. The transcript is spliced from 2 exons. NCBI's taxonomy places the organism in Eukaryota, Metazoa, Chordata, Mammalia, Primates, Hylobatidae.
AUGGCGCUUGACGGACCACAGCAGAUGGAGUUGGAGGAGGAAAAGGCAGGCAGUGGACUCUGCCAGUAUUAUCUGUCCAAGAUUGAAGAAUUGCAGCUGAUUUUGAAUGAUAAGACCCAAAACCUCUGGAGGUGGCAGGUGCACAGGAAUGAAUUAAAUGCUAAAGUGUGCCUAUUACAGGAGGAGCUACAGCUGCUGCAGGAAUAGGACUCCUGUGUCAGGGAAGUAGUCCAGGCCAUGGAUAAGAAGAAAAUGUUGGUCAAGGUGCAUCCCAAGGACAAGUUUGUCGUAGAUGUGGACAAAAAUAUCAGCAUCAGUGAUGAGACUCCCAGUUCCUUGGUGGUUCUAAGAAAUGACAGCUACACUUUGUACAAGAUCCUACCCAACAAGGUGGGCUCAUUGGUGUCACUGAUGAUGGUGAAGGAAGUACCAGAUUCGACUUAUGAAAUGAUUGGUAGACUGGAUAGGCAGAUCAAGGAGAUCAAAGAAGUGAUCGACCUGCCUGCUAAGCAUCCCGAGCUCUUCAAGGCACUAAGCAUUGCACAGCCCAAGGGAAUGCUGCUUAGAAGACACUGUUGGCCUGGGCUCUGGCUCAUCAUAGGGACUGUACCUUUAUUCAUGUCUCUGGCUCUGAAUUGGUACAGAAAUUCAUUGGGGAAUUUCUGUGAUGGCAGAGAAAAUGCUCAUCUGUGAUCUUCAUGGAUGAAAUCAACUCUUUCGGCUCCUCAGAGCUGGAGGGAGAUGCUGGAGGGAACAGUGAAGUGCAGCAGACGAUGCUUCGAGGAUGGCUUUGAGGCCAUCAAGAGUAUCACGGUUUAUCCUGGCCACUAAUACGAUUGAUAUCCUGGACUCGGCACUGCUUUGCCCAGGGCACAUUGACAGAAAAAUUGAAUUCCCACCCCGCAAUGAGUAGGCCUGGCUGGACACUUUGAAGAUUCAUUCUCAGAAAUGAACCUGACCCAGGGGAUCAACCUGAGAAAAAUUGCUGAGCUUAUGCCAGGAGCAUCGGGCUGAAGUGAAGGGCAUGUGCACAGAAACCGGCAUGUAUGCCCUGAACAGUGAGUCCAUGUCACUCAGAAGGACUUUGAGGUAGUCCAAAGUCCUAUCUCAUGCCAAAGGACAUGCCAAAGGACAGCGAGGAAAAACAUGUCCAUCAAGAAACUAUGGAAUUGAGUGGACAUCCUUUGUCUGUAUCCCUACAAUAAAACUCAAUGGGACAAGCAAAAAAAAAAAAAAAAAAAAAAAAAUAAAAGUUUUGGGGAGGGAUGAUCUGCUAGCGUAUAAUCAAUAACUUUUAAAAUUUAGCUUGUAUUUAGUAACGCUUCAUUAUGUUUUGAAAAAAAAAAAAGUAAAAAGUCUUUUGAAGCACAAUUUUCAUGAUGUUAAAGGUAUUGAGUUUCCUAGUGUAAGAACAUGAGUUCUGGAAACAGUCUUAGGGACACUGGGCAAGAUAGAGGCCUCCCCCCCUCCCCCCCCACCAACUUUGUUUGUAAAAAGAGAUAAUACUGCCUACAUCAGGGUUGAUGUGAGGAUUAAUUAGAAAAGUACAUGUAUGUAAGCACCAGACACACAGUAAACACUUAAUAAUGUUAGUGGCUAGUGUAAACAAACAUAUUUGUGCCCAUUUAUGAAUAACUUUAGUAUUCUCUCGAGUCAUGAGGUGUAGUAGUAAUAUCUAAGACCUUAACUGAAGUGUUUGAAGAAUCCUAGGUAUAACAGAGAACAUUAUGGGUGCUGAUUUCCACUCUCACUAAAACCCAGUGACUUUACUAUAUCAGCACCUAUAAAGCACUACUUGAUUCUGCAGAUUGUAUGGACCAAGAAUGUAGAUAUAAGACAGCUGAUCUCUAGGAACUGAAUUUUUAGUGAGUAAAGCAAGCAAGCAUGUAAUAGAGAACAAUAAAAGCUCUGGUAGACAUAUGUACAAGGUGUUGUAGAGGUACAAAGGAAAGUUAUUCAGACUCGGCAAGAGAGUGAUUAAACUUAAGUAUUUAAGAACAAAUAGAACAUAGCUCUAGGGGAUGUGGAACAUGCAAAGUGGAAAGUUUGGGAAGAGUAUUCCCAAGGCAAAAAGCUUAGCACAUACAAACAUAGGAGGAAAGCAAGACACUCUUACAGAGUUGCUAUGCUUUGGGAGGCGGAGGCUGGCGGAUCAUGAGAU